GAUGAACGCUGGCGGCGUGCUUAACACAUGCAAGUCGAACGGAAAGGCUCCUGCUUGCAGGGGUACUCGAGUGGCGAACGGGUGAGUAACACGUGGGUGAUCUGCCCUGCACUUCGGGAUAAGCCUGGGAAACUGGGUCUAAUACCGGAUAGGACCACAUUUUGGAUGGUGUGGUGGAAAGUUUUUCGGUGUGGGAUGAGCUCGCGGCCUAUCAGCUUGUUGGUGGGGUAAUGGCCUACCAAGGCGUCGACGGGUAGCCGGCCUGAGAGGGUGUACGGCCACAUGGGGACUGAGAUACGACCCAGAAUCCUACGGUACGCAGCAGUGGCGAAUAUUGCGCAGUGACGGCGAGCCUGAUGCGGAGGCGCCGGGUGGGGGAAGACGGCCUUCGGGUUAUAAACACCUUUCGCUAGGGACGAGGCGCAAGUGACGGUACCUGGAGAAGAAGCACCGGCUAACUACGUG
Molecule: ribosomal RNA, 465 nt
Filed under: uncultured bacterium
Lineage: Bacteria
Description: partial 16S ribosomal RNA
Rfam family: Bacterial small subunit ribosomal RNA
Source: RNAcentral